CAGGCCUAACACAUGCAAGUCGAGGGGUAACAAGAGGAAAGCUUGCUUUUCUUGUUGACGACCGGCGCACGGGUGAGUAACGCGUAUCCAACCUGCCUAUAACUAGGGAAUAACCUUGCGAAAGUAAGACUAAUACCCUAUGAUUUCCUUUGAUGACAUCAGAUUAGGAAUAAAGAUUUAUCGGUUAUAGAUGGGGAUGCGUCUGAUUAGCUUGUUGGCGGGGUAACGGCCCACCAAGGCAACGAUCAGUAGGGGUUCUGAGAGGAAGGUCCCCCACAUUGGAACUGAGACACGGUCCAAACUCCUACGGGAGGCAGCAGUGAGGAAUAUUGGUCAAUGGGCGAAAGCCUGAACCAGCCAAGUAGCGUGCAGGAUGACGGCCCUAUGGGUUGUAAACUGCUUUUAUACAGGAAUAAAGUUAGCCACGUGUGGUUAUUGUAGGUACUGAGAAUAGACCGCAUCUG
RNAcentral lists this ribosomal RNA (464 nucleotides) under uncultured bacterium. RNAcentral describes it as "bacterial SSU rRNA". It matches the Rfam family "Bacterial small subunit ribosomal RNA", at positions 43 to 496 of the family's 1533-position model. The record is from RNAcentral.